This 506-nucleotide ribosomal RNA is filed under the name uncultured bacterium. RNAcentral's name for it is "partial 16S ribosomal RNA". It matches the Rfam family "Bacterial small subunit ribosomal RNA", at positions 29 to 523 of the family's 1533-position model. The record is from RNAcentral.
AGUGAACGCUGGCGGUAGGCCUAACACAUGCAAAUCGAACGGCAGCACAGGAGAGCUUGCUCUCUGGGUGGCGAGUGGCGGACGGGUGAGGAAUACAUCGGAAUCUACUCUGUCGUGGGGGAUGACGUAGGGAAACUUACGCUAAUACCGCAUACGACCUACGGGUGAAAGCAGGGGACCUUCGGGCCUUGCGCGAUUGAAUGAGCCGAUGUCGGAUUAGCUAGUUGGCGGGGUAAAGGCCCACCAAGGCGACGAUCCGUAGCUGGUCUGAGGGGAUGGUCAGCCACACUGGAACGGAGACACGGUCCAGACUCCUACGGGAGGCAGCAGUGGGGAACAUUGGACAAUGGGCGCAAGCCUGAUCCAGCCAUACCGCGUGGGUGAAGAAGGCCUUCGGGUUGUAAAGCCCUUUUGUUGGGAAAGAAAUCCAGCUGGCUAAUACCCGGUUGGGAUGACGGUACCCAAAGAAUAAGCACCGGCUAACUUCGUGCCAGCAGCCGCCGUAA